Long non-coding RNA from Eptesicus fuscus (big brown bat), 686 nucleotides. RefSeq lists it as uncharacterized. The record is from RefSeq and is a predicted model, not a curated record. Lineage: Eukaryota; Metazoa; Chordata; Mammalia; Chiroptera; Vespertilionidae. The transcript has 7 exons.
GGCACCCCGUGGCCGGCGCCCCGCGUGACUGCCCGAUGCACCUCCUGGUCAACUUCCCUCCAGCGCCCUCGCGCGCGCAGCGUCCAGCCCAGCCCCGCUCACCCGCGCGCCCGCUGUGCACGCGACCAUCCUGUGACAGCGUGAGGACCACCUAGGCUUUUAUUAUUCCCAUCGGCCUCAGCAACCCUCAGCACCAGGCUCUGUGGGACACUUGCUCCACCUGCCUCCAGGACCUCACACUCUCCUGGAGUUUCUCCUUUGGCUGACCUUCCCUUCUCAGCAUCCUUGGCCUCUGCCCCUUCCUCUUUCCAGAGAAAACUGUAAACUGCAUUGUUUACAAUUGGCAAGAUAUGGAAGCAACCCAAAGUGCCCAUCAAUAGCCCAGCCCCGGAGCCAAGGGCGGAGGAACUCUGAAGCUUGGCAACUCUGGAUGGAAGACAGUGAGAUUCCAAGGCAUUGGAAGUAUUUAUGGAGUACCUUCUCUGAGUCAGGUUCUGUUCUAGAAGUACAUUUUGGGAUACUUAAGUGCAAAAAAACAUACACUGAAGAACCAGGGCCUUCUCCACCUCUGCAGGUUCAUUCACGACAUCCAACGAUGUCUGGGCCUUACUUUCUAAAUCAUUUAGCAUAUCUUUCAGAGUUUUCAACGUUUCCAAAUACGCAUGUCCAGGGAGGAAGAAGGAGAG